RNAcentral lists this long non-coding RNA (242 nucleotides) under Lathyrus oleraceus (garden pea). RNAcentral describes it as "Pisum sativum (pea) long non-coding RNA (PSAT_LNC020606)". The record is from RNAcentral. Lineage: Eukaryota; Viridiplantae; Streptophyta; Magnoliopsida; Fabales; Fabaceae.
GUUAGCAUGCAAAGAAUAUGGGAAUUCUACCUAUGUUAUCAUACAAAAGAAUAAGGGAAUCCUACCUAUGUUAUCAUACAAAAGGAUAUGGGAAUCUUACCUAUGUUAUCAUACAAAGGGUUCUAUCUAAUGGGUGCUACCUAAUCGGAACAAGAGUUGACGAGUGGAGCAAGGAGAAAUGUUAGGGAUAAGGGUAGAUGGCGAUGCAUGAAGCAAUCGACUUACAAGGUUGAUGGCGAUGC